Molecule: ribosomal RNA, 467 nt
Filed under: uncultured bacterium
Lineage: Bacteria
Description: bacterial SSU rRNA
Rfam family: Bacterial small subunit ribosomal RNA
Source: RNAcentral
GAUGAACGCUAGCUACAGGCUUAACACAUGCAAGUCGAGGGCAGCACUAGGUAGCAAUACUGAGGUGGCGACCGGCGCACGGGUGCGUAACGCGUAUCCAACCUUCCCGAUACUCAGGGAUAGCCUUCCGAAAGGGAGAUUAAUACCUGAUGGUGUUUCAAUUCCGCAUGUUAUUGAAACUAAAGAUUUAUCGGUAUCGGAUGGGGAUGCGUGACAUUAGAUAGUAGGCGGGGUAACGGCCCACCUAGUCUACGAUGUCUAGGGGUUCUGAGAGGAAGGUCCCCCACACUGGAACUGAGAUACGGCCCAGACUCCUACGGGAGGCAGCAGUGGGGAAUAUUGGGCAAUGGGGGCAACCCUGACCCAGCAACGCCGCGUGAAGGAAGAAGGCUUUCGGGUUGUAAACUUCUUUUACCAGGGACGAAGACGUGACGGUACCUGGAGAAAAAGCCACGGCUAACUACGUG